AGAGUUUGAUCCUGGCUCAGAUUGAACGCUGGCGGCAGAGCCUAACACAUGCAAGUCGAACGGAAACGAUGGGAGCUUGCUCCCAGGCGUCGAGUGGCGGACGGGUGAGUAAUACUUAGGAAUCUGCCCAGUAGUGGGGGACAACUCGAGGAAACUCGAGCUAAUACCGCAUACGCCCUACGGGGGAAAGCGGAGGAUCUUUCGGGACUUCGCGCUAUUGGAUGAGCCUAAGUCGGAUUAGCUUGUUGGUGAGGUAAAGGCUCACCAAGGCGACGAUCCGUAGCUGGUCUGAGAGGACGAUCAGCCACACUGGGACUGAGACACGGCCCAGACUCCUACGGGAGGCAGCAGUGGGGAAUAUUGGACAAUGGGCGCAAGCCUGAUCCAGCAAUGCCGCGUGUGUGAAGAAGGCCUGCGGGUUGUAAAGCACUUUCAGUAGGGAGGAAAAGCUUAGGGUUAAUACCCCUGGGUCUUGACGUUAUCUACAGAAGAAGCACCGGCUAACUCCGUGCCAGCAGCCGCGGUAAUACGGGGGGGUGCAAGCGUUAAUCGGAAUUACUGGGCGUAAAGCGCUCGUAGGUGGUUUGAUAAGUCGGAUGUGAAAGCCCUGGGCUUAACCUGGGAACUGCAUUCGAAACUGUCAAGCUAGAGUAUGGUAGAGGUGAGGGGAAUUCCUGGUGUAGCGGUGAAAUGCGUAGAUAUCAGGAGGAACAUCAGUGGCGAAGGCGCCUCACUGGACCAAUACUGACGCUGAGGAGCGAAAGCGUGGGGAGCAAACGGGAUUAGAUACCCCGGUAGUCCACGCCGUAAACGAUGUCAACUAGACGUCGGGUUCAUAAAAGAACUUAGUGUCGCAGCUAACGCAUUAAGUUGACCGCCUUGGGAGUACGUUCGCAAGGAUGAAACUCUAAAGUAAUGACGGGGGGCCCGCACAAGCGGU
Molecule: ribosomal RNA, 940 nt
Filed under: uncultured Gammaproteobacteria bacterium
Lineage: Bacteria; Pseudomonadati; Pseudomonadota; Gammaproteobacteria
Description: bacterial SSU rRNA
Rfam family: Bacterial small subunit ribosomal RNA
Source: RNAcentral